GACGAACGCUGGCGGCGUGCUUAACACAUGCAAGUCGAACGGAAAGGCCUGCUUUCCCUUGUGGAUUGCGGGUACUCGAGUGGCGAACGGGUGAGUAACACGUGAGUGAUCUGCCCCCAACUUGGGUAUAAGCCUGGGAAACUGGGUCUAAUUCCCGAUAGGACUGCAGGGUGGUGCCUGUGGUGGAAAACGAUUUUCUAGUGGUUGGGGAUGAGCUCGCGGCCUAUCAGCUUGUUGGUGGGGUAAUGGCCUACCAAGGCGGCGACGGGUAGCCGGCCUGAGAAGGUGGACGGCCACAUUGGGACUGAGAUACGGCCCAGACUCCUACGGGAGGCAGCAGUGGGGAAUAUUGCACAAUGGGCGGAAGCCUGAUGCAGCGACGCCGCGUGGGGGAUGACGGCCUUCGGGUUGUAAACUCCUUUCGACCGCGAGGAAGCCACCUGGUUGGAAGGGUGGUGACGGUAGUGGUAGAAGAAGCACCGGCUAACUACGU
Molecule: ribosomal RNA, 493 nt
Filed under: uncultured bacterium
Lineage: Bacteria
Description: partial 16S ribosomal RNA
Rfam family: Bacterial small subunit ribosomal RNA
Source: RNAcentral